UGUAGCUGAGUGGUAGAGCAUUUGCCUAGCAUUCAUGAAGCCCUGGGUUCAAUCCCCAGCA
RNAcentral lists this transfer RNA (61 nucleotides) under Urocitellus parryii (Arctic ground squirrel). RNAcentral's name for it is "Spermophilus parryii (Arctic ground squirrel) tRNA". It matches the Rfam family "tRNA", at positions 6 to 65 of the family's 71-position model. From Rfam's summary of the family: Transfer RNA (tRNA) molecules are approximately 80 nucleotides in length. Their secondary structure includes four short double-helical elements and three loops (D, anti-codon, and T loops). RNAcentral also lists the same sequence under 1 other name. Lineage: Eukaryota; Metazoa; Chordata; Mammalia; Rodentia; Sciuridae. The record is from Rfam by way of RNAcentral.